This 204-nucleotide ribosomal RNA is filed under the name uncultured bacterium. RNAcentral's name for it is "partial 16S ribosomal RNA". It matches the Rfam family "Bacterial small subunit ribosomal RNA", at positions 29 to 258 of the family's 1533-position model. The record is from RNAcentral.
AACGAACGCUGGCGGCAGGCCUAACACAUGCAAGUCGAACGCCCGUAGCAAUACGGAGUGGCAGACGGGUGAGUAACGCGUGGGAACGUGCCCUUCGGUUCGGAAUAACUCAGGGAAACUUAGAGCUAAUACCGGAUACGUCCGUAAGGAGAAAGAUUUAUCGCCGAAGGAUCGGCCCGCGUCGGAUUAGCUAGUUGGUGAGGU